This 681-nucleotide ribosomal RNA is filed under the name Epsilonematidae sp. 554_4-1000. RNAcentral's name for it is "eukaryotic LSU rRNA". It matches the Rfam family "Eukaryotic large subunit ribosomal RNA", at positions 382 to 895 of the family's 3401-position model. Lineage: Eukaryota; Metazoa; Nematoda; Chromadorea; Desmodorida; Epsilonematidae. The record is from RNAcentral.
UGAGAGUUCAAGAGGGCGUGAAACCGCUUAGAAGCAAACAGAUGGAACUGAUGAAGAGUCGGUGUUAUUCACCUGCUGCGUCCACCUCAGCCCUGCGUCAGACGUCAAUGCUGGCUGCGGGUGUCUGGUGUGGCCAGCGGGUGCAUUUUCACCGAUGCGCACUGGAAGCUGUGCUUGCGCUGGAGGAAGGCGCGGAAUGCCGGCCAAAUAUGUUGGUGUCCCUUCUGCGCCGGAAGCCGGGUCGCGAGUACGGUCUUGAUGGGAAAGGAACACCCGCCUUUACUCGUGGCUGCCGUGUGCCUGGCUCAGUCGGAAGUUGGUUGCUUGCAACUCUCGGCCGGCUGCGGCUUUGCACCUGGUGGCUUUCGAGUCGGUGUUAUUCCGGUGUUUGUGUCAGCCACCCAUCUGACCCGUCUUGAAACACGGACCAAGGAGUCUAACAUGUGCGCGAGUCAUUGGGUGUUCAAACCCACAGGCGCAAUGAAAGUGAAGUCUAGUUCGGCUUGGACGAUAUGGGAUCCUUCGCUUCUGGCGGAGGCGCACCAUAGUCCCGUCUGAUCUGCUUGUCAGAUGGGCGGAGAUAGAGCGUACAUGCUGGGACCCGAAAGAUGGUGAACUAUGCCUGAGCAGGAUGAAGCCAGAGGAAACUCUGGUGGAGGUCCGUAGCGAUUCUGACGUGCA